CCUACGGGAGGCAGCAGUGGGGAAUCUUGCGCAAUGGGGGCAACCCUGACGCAGCCAUGCCGCGUGAAUGAUGAAGGCCUUAGGGUUGUAAAGUUCUUUUGCCCGUGACGAUGAUGACGGUAACGGGAGAAUAAGCUCCGGCUAACUUCGUGCCAGCAGCCGCGGUAAUACGAAGGGGGCUAGCGUUGUUCGGAAUUACUGGGCGUAAAGCGCGCGCAGGCGGUUCGAUAAGUUAGGGGUGAAAUCCCUGGGCUCAACCCAGGAAUGGCCUUUAAGACUGUCGAGCUAGAGGACGAGAGAGGUGAGUGGAAUUCCCAGUGUAGAGGUGAAAUUCGUAGAUAUUGGGAAGAACACCGGUGGCGAAGGCGGCUCACUGGCUCGUUUCUGACGCUGAGGCGCGAAAGCGUGGGGAGCAAACAGGAUUAGAUACCCUGGUAGUCCACGCCCUAAACGAUGAGUGCCAGGUGUCGGGAAGCUUAGCUUCUCGGCGCCGCAGCUAACGCCUUAAGCACUCCGCCUGGGGAGUCGGCCGCAAGGUUAAAACUCAAAUGAAUUGACGGCUGAGAGNGCGACGACGACGACGAGGAGAG
Molecule: ribosomal RNA, 590 nt
Filed under: uncultured bacterium
Lineage: Bacteria
Description: bacterial SSU rRNA
Rfam family: Bacterial small subunit ribosomal RNA
Source: RNAcentral